GGCGGAGAGCCAAGUUCUGACGC
RNAcentral lists this transfer RNA (23 nucleotides) under Petrea aspera. Its description in RNAcentral is "partial tRNA-His". The record is from RNAcentral. Lineage: Eukaryota; Viridiplantae; Streptophyta; Magnoliopsida; Lamiales; Verbenaceae.